UUACAGUGUAUGCCUGGCACUGGAGUACCUAAUACACUAAAUCUUCGAGUAAUCUAAUGCCCAUUUUGCUCUUGGCUUCUAGCUCUGAAAGAAGAGUGGCAAACUAAUUGUGAAAGCAACAGAGGCUUUUAUGGUCUUCACAAAGCUUGGUGUAUCCAAAUGCAGAUUAGUCUCAGGGAUGCCAUGUCAGUUAAGAGUAAUCUAUGGUCCUUUCAAAACUCUUGCUGGGUUUUGCCUAAGAUUCGAAGCCUAAAGCUCUGAAUUCUGACCUCCCUGAUUACUGACUGAGGAAACAAUAUCCCCAAAAUGGAAAGCUCCAGGUCUGUGUGCUUAGAUUUAGGCUCCAAGGACUGAACACCCUGCAUGUAAGGUGUGUGUCUAAGCAGUAUUUAUGACAUAACAAACCAGCCAAGAGCUGGAGGUUCUGAUCAGCAAAUAAGGAAGGAACAACAUCUGACAUCUUUACCCACUUUAACUGUGAGUAUAUGAAAUCUAGGCAACAAAAUAAAUAGAACAGAGACUGGAAGACGUGAUGCUUCCUGGGAGAACAUGUGCCCGAAAGUUCCCACAAUAAUCUCAUCAUGAGGCUCACUCGUUCUCACCUCCAGAGUUCUGGGGGGUAAAAUAAUACAUAAAUGCAAGGAUUAUCUUAUAUAUACACCAAGGGAAAGGAAAUACUGCCUAUUAAGAAUUAGCAGCUAACAGCUGGGCGCGGUGGCUCACACCUGUAAUCCCAGCACUUUGGGAGGCCAAGGCAGGCGGAUCACAAGAUCAGGAGUUCGAGACCAUGCUGGCUAACAAGCAUCAAGCAAAGAACUUGUAAUACGCUGAAUGCUGCAUAGAAGGUUUUGAAACUACUUACCUGCUGUGGAACACCUGUAUAACUUUAAAAUGCAUCAAUCAAUCUCGAGAGUAUGAUCAUGCUUCCUGCUUUUAAGGAUCUGAAGUUAACUGCAACUCCAAGUAUACAAGACUUCUUUGGGACCCAUGGAAGCAUCUCUACAUGCUCAUGUUUGCCAGAUUCAGUGGCCUCCUGAAACCUGGCCCUAGCUAAUAAGUUAAAAAGCUCUAAGUAAUCCCGAGCUGCAUUUGAAUCUCCAAGAUCACUUGUUCAUGGGUUGGUAAUACUUUAAAGAGCCAUUUGUUUAACUGCUAAUCUGGAUCUUAUAUUCUGAGCCCCAGCUUUUUUCUAAAGCAAAGAAAAUACAAAAUAAAAGUAAGACCAAAUGCCUUUGUACCAUGGAGAGAGAAAUGACUCAUUGGAAUGCUUCUGUUUUUCAUCACAUCAAAGAUGCAUCAACAUAAAUCAACCAUUAUAUCAUGCACCAUGAUAAAAAAGGGGGAUAAAAGUCCCCAAACCACUGCCAAUUAAACCAACACAGUGCCUUUGUAUUAUUCAGAAUUUUUAUCUUAGCCUUAUUGAAAGAGCUUUUUUAGAACAUAUUUAAACAAUUCUGUCAUAUUUCAUUCUUGCAUACUCAUUAAAAAGGAAAAUAUGAGAGAUACAAAUGAAAGGUUUCCAAAAGUUUCCUCUCAUUCAGAAUCCAAUUCUUCAGAAUUAUUUUGCAACCCAGACUCUUUGAUGUCCUCGUUUUCCCACCAAAUAUGUUAUCAAGAGCAUGGUAGGGCAGAGUUUCUUAGAAGAAGGCAAUGUUAUUGUCAUUGAACACUGGCACUCAUCCUACAAGUUUUGAUUUUGGCCUCUUUUUUUCUGUGGGGUGGGGGGCAGGGUCUCGCUCUGUUGCCCAGGCUGGAGUGCAGUGGCACAGUCAUGGAUCACUGCAGCCUUGGCCUCCUGGGCUCAAGUCGUCCUCCCACCUCAGCCUCCCAAGUAGCUGAGACCGCAAGUGUGUGCUAUGUUUUUAUUUUUUUACUUUUAUUUUUUUAAUUUUAUUUAUUUACUGUUUAUUUAUUUAUUUAUUUUUGAGACAGGGUCUCACUCUGUCACCCAGGCUGGAGUGCACUGGUGUGA
Molecule: long non-coding RNA, 1972 nt
Filed under: Homo sapiens (human)
Lineage: Eukaryota; Metazoa; Chordata; Mammalia; Primates; Hominidae
Description: HSALNT0299381
Source: RNAcentral